This 504-nucleotide ribosomal RNA is filed under the name uncultured bacterium. RNAcentral describes it as "partial 16S ribosomal RNA". It matches the Rfam family "Bacterial small subunit ribosomal RNA", at positions 28 to 507 of the family's 1533-position model. The record is from RNAcentral.
GACGAACGCUGGCGGCGUGCUUAACACAUGCCAGUCGAACGGUGAAGCGCUUGCCUUUUUGGUGGGUGUGGAUGAGUGGCGAACGGGUGAGUAACACGUGAGUAACCUGCCCUCUUCUUCUGGAUAACCUCAUGAAAGUGGGGCUAAUACGGGGUAUUCCGGGUCUGUCGCAUGGCGGGUUUGGGAAAGAUUGCGCCUUUGGGUGUUUUCGGUGGGGGAUGGGCUCGCGGCCUAUCAGCUUGUUGGUGGGGUGAUGGCCUACCAAGGCGGUGACGGGUAGCCGGCCUGAGAGGGUGGACGGCCACACUGGGACUGAGACACGGCCCAGACUCCUGCGGGAGGCAGCAGUGGGGAAUAUUGCACAAUGGGCGCAAGCCUGAUGCAGCGACGCCGCGUGAGGGAUGGAGGCCUUCGGGUGGUGAACCUCUUUCGCCAGUGAAGCAGGCCUGCUCCUGUGUGGGUGGGUUGACGGUAGCUGGAUAAGAAGCGCCGGCUAACUACGUG